Molecule: ribosomal RNA, 254 nt
Filed under: uncultured bacterium
Lineage: Bacteria
Description: partial 16S ribosomal RNA
Rfam family: Bacterial small subunit ribosomal RNA
Source: RNAcentral
UACGGAGGGGGGCUAGCGUUGUUCGGAAUUACUGGGCGUAAAGCGCGCGUAGGCGGCUUUGUAAGUUAGAGGUGAAAGCCCGGAGCUCAACUCCGGAACUGCCUUUAAGACUGCAUCGCUAGAAUUGUGGAGAGGUGAGUGGAAUUCCGAGUGUAGAGGUGAAAUUCGUAGAUAUUCGGAAGAACACCAGUGGCGAAGGCGACUCACUGGACACAUAUUGACGCUGAGGUGCGAAAGCGUGGGGAGCAAACAGG